GAUGAACGCUGGCGGCGUGCCUAAUACAUGCAAGUCGAGCGAACAGAUGAGGAGCUGGCUCCUCUGACGUUAGCGGCGGACGGGUGAGUAACACGGGGAUAACCUACCUAUAAGACUGGGAUAACUUCGGGAAACCGGAGCUAAGACCGAAUAAUAUAUUGAACCGCAUUGUGCAAGAGUGAAAGACGGUUUUUCGUUGGGUUAUAGAUGGAUCCGCGCCGCAUUAGCUAGUUGGUAAGGUAACGGCUUACCAAGGCACCGAUGCGUAGCCGGCCUAAGAGGACGAUCGGCCACACGGGAAAUGAGACGCGCUCCAGAACCCGAAGUGAGGCAGCAGUCGGGAAUCUACCGGAAGGGGCGAAAGCCUGUCGGAGCAACGCCGCGUGAGUCAGGAAGGUCUACGCCUCGUAAAACAUUGUUAUCAGAGAAGAACAAAUGUGUAAGUACCGAUGUGAGUCUGAACGGUACCUAAGAAGAAAGCCCCGGUAAACCCCGG
This 496-nucleotide ribosomal RNA is filed under the name uncultured bacterium. RNAcentral's name for it is "partial 16S ribosomal RNA". It matches the Rfam family "Bacterial small subunit ribosomal RNA", at positions 28 to 506 of the family's 1533-position model. The record is from RNAcentral.